Molecule: transfer RNA, 78 nt
Filed under: Asterionellopsis glacialis
Lineage: Eukaryota; Bacillariophyta; Plagiogrammaphyceae; Rhaphoneidales; Asterionellopsidaceae
Rfam family: tRNA
About the family: Transfer RNA (tRNA) molecules are approximately 80 nucleotides in length. Their secondary structure includes four short double-helical elements and three loops (D, anti-codon, and T loops). Further hydrogen bonds mediate the characteristic L-shaped molecular structure. tRNAs have two regions of fundamental functional importance: the anti-codon, which is responsible for specific mRNA codon recognition, and the 3' end, to which the tRNAs corresponding amino acid is attached (by aminoacyl-tRNA synthetases). tRNAs cope with the degeneracy of the genetic code in two manners: having more than one tRNA (with a specific anti-codon) for a particular amino acid; and 'wobble' base-pairing, i.e. permitting non-standard base-pairing at the 3rd anti-codon position.
Source: RNAcentral
CGGUGUGGCGGAAUUGGUAGACGCGCGGGAUUCAAAAUCCCGUUUUCCUUGGAAAGUGUCGGUUCGAGCCCGACCACC